UGCAGGCUGCACACAGGCACAAACUCUGCUCAAACUCGGGGAUAAACUGUGGCAUAAACUCGUGUCCCGCGGCUCCUGUUUCUCAGAUGACGGAAAUGUGUGAAGAAGAAGCUCAGACUACGGCCUGUGUCGACUAAGAGCAAACCCUCAGAACGUCUGAACACAUCCCAGUGACUGCGGCGACAGUAAAGACAUAACAAAGGGU
This is a long non-coding RNA of Periophthalmus magnuspinnatus, 205 nucleotides long. RefSeq lists it as uncharacterized. The record is from RefSeq and is a predicted model, not a curated record. The transcript has 3 exons. NCBI's taxonomy places the organism in Eukaryota, Metazoa, Chordata, Actinopteri, Gobiiformes, Gobiidae.